This is a non-coding RNA of Heterocephalus glaber (naked mole-rat), 643 nucleotides long. The record is from RefSeq and is a predicted model, not a curated record. Lineage: Eukaryota; Metazoa; Chordata; Mammalia; Rodentia; Bathyergidae.
GAAAGUGGUUGAUUCCACAACGAGAACAGGAAAAAAGACAAGAUGAGUUUGGAACGUCUUGCGGUGCCCUGAAGUUUAUGGAGAUAUUAAGGCAAAGAGUUACGUCUAUUGCCCUGAAAGGUCACAUAACUCCUAAGAGGAAGAAUUAGAAUUUGGCUGGAAUUUUUGAAAGAAGAAGGACUUUAAACUCAGCCUGUUAUUUUGCACUAGAGCUCUAGCCCAUUUCCACACAAGCUCACCUCAAAGAACUUUACCUCUUUUUUUCAUCCUGUCCUAUUCAAAGCCUUUGGAUCAUUCAAAGGGUUGUGCCUUUGCCACACUUUCUCUUUCAUUACUAAAGUAUUAUGGAGAAGAUAUUUUCACCUGUGCAGCUACUCAAGUGGGGCAUUGAUUUUCAUAAAAUUAUGCUGGCUCAUUCUGCAGACACUUCCUGAAGACCUGUCUAAUGGACCAUGCUGAGGGCUAACCCUCAGUUCUAAGAGACAGCUUCUAACCAGACAUAACUUCCUGGUUAACAAAUAACAAAAAAAGUUAAAUUAUUUCUCCUUGGAGACUCACAGAGACAUAGGGCUCUUUUCAAGGUGAAUACCUCCCAAGCCUGCAUCAGGAAUGUCACACCUGCAGCAAGAUGAAAGGCGGUCAC